This 253-nucleotide ribosomal RNA is filed under the name uncultured bacterium. Its description in RNAcentral is "partial 16S ribosomal RNA". It matches the Rfam family "Bacterial small subunit ribosomal RNA", at positions 524 to 776 of the family's 1533-position model. The record is from RNAcentral.
UACGUAGGGUGCGAGCGUUGUCCGGAAUUAUUGGGCGUAAAGGGCUCGUAGGCGGUUUGUCACGUCAGGAGUGAAAACUCGGGGCUCAACCCCGAGCCUGCUUCUGAUACGGGCAGACUAGAGGUAUGCAGGGGAGAACGGAAUUCCUGGUGUAGCGGUGAAAUGCGCAGAUAUCAGGGGGAACACCGGUGGCGAAGGCGGUUCUCUGGGCAUUACCUGACGCUGAGGAGCGAAAGUGUGGGGAGCGAACAGG